GAUGAACGCUGGCGGCGUGCCUAAUACAUGCAAGUCGAGCGAACAGACGAGGAGCUUGCUCCUCUGGCGUUAGCGGCGGACGGGUGAGUAACACGUGGAUAACCUACCUAUAAGGCUGGGAUAACUUCGGGAAACCGGAGCUAAUACCGGAUAAUAUAUUGAACCGCAUGGUUCAAUAGUGUAAGACGUGUUUGCUGUCACUUAUAGCUGGAUUCGUGCCGCAUUAGCUAGUUGGUAAGGUAACGGCUUACCAUAGCGAGGAUGCGCAGCCGACCUGAGAGGGUGAUGGGCCACACUGGAACUGAGACACGGUCCUGACUCCGACGGGAGGCAGCAGCAGGGAAUCGUCCGCGAUGGGCGAAAGCCUGACGGAGCAACGCCGCGUGAGUGAUGAAGGUCUUCGGAUCGUAAAACUCUGUUAUUAGUGAAGACCAAAUGUGUAAGUAACUAUGCACGUCUUGACGGUACCUAAUCAGAAAGCCACGGCUAACUACGUG
RNAcentral lists this ribosomal RNA (497 nucleotides) under uncultured bacterium. RNAcentral's name for it is "partial 16S ribosomal RNA". It matches the Rfam family "Bacterial small subunit ribosomal RNA", at positions 28 to 507 of the family's 1533-position model. The record is from RNAcentral.